Molecule: small nuclear RNA, 106 nt
Organism: Callithrix jacchus (white-tufted-ear marmoset)
Lineage: Eukaryota; Metazoa; Chordata; Mammalia; Primates; Cebidae
Source: Ensembl
GUGUUUACUUUGGCAGCACACAUAAUGAAAGUAGAACUAUGCAGAGAUGAUUACCACGGCCCCGUGGAAGAAUAACAUGCAAUAAUGUGAAGCAGUCCACAUUUUU